CGGGGUGUAGCGCAGCCUGGUAGCGCGCCUGCUUUGGGAGCAGGAUGUCGGAGGUUCGAAUCCUCUCGCCCCGACCA
Molecule: transfer RNA, 77 nt
Filed under: Desulfobotulus alkaliphilus
Lineage: Bacteria; Pseudomonadati; Thermodesulfobacteriota; Desulfobacteria; Desulfobacterales; Desulfobacteraceae
Also listed under: 4 other names
Description: tRNA-Pro
Rfam family: tRNA
About the family: Transfer RNA (tRNA) molecules are approximately 80 nucleotides in length.
Source: RNAcentral